GGGAAGGUGAGGAGAGGGUUAAGCAGGUAUUGAGUCCACAUAUGCGAGCUUUGUUGUCUUUGUAGGAGCUGUGGAACAGCAGCGCAUUAUUAUUUCCUGACUCCUGUUUACUGGACUUCUUUGGCAGGUAUUCUCUUCUUAAGCUUCUGCCAUGGGUACUUCAUGUCUCAUUUCAAUGAUUGUUAUCUCUAUCAGGAGUUCUUCAUUAUUUUUAUCAUUGUCCUUCUUCAGUGUACUUUGAAUUGUUGAUGGAUUAGUUUCAGUUCAUCUACAGUGCAUAGUUCAUUGAGCACUCGAAGUUUCCUUUGUUCAUGGAGUGAAGUCUGCAGAGAACCAAUGUGGCAUUAGACAUAGCGAGCAUAGUCCGUUUUUAUGGUAAGGAAACCUAGGGACGGUCAAAAUAUUCGGAUGGAAAGUGCAAUUUUUCAGCAAAAUACAGUUCAGUUGUCAAAAGAAACCAUCUGAGCUGAGACAUUUAAUUGAUGAUGGUAUUGGGGUCAUUACCGGGGGUUGCAGGGGUGCAGCAUGAAGAAUUUUCUGAAGCACAUGAAUUACAUUAUAUAUAUACAUACAUAUAUAUAUAUAUAUAUGCAUGUAUGCAUAUUGCCAUGUGCAUUUUGUAAUGAUAUAGCUAAAUUAUUGUCAUUGUUAGUGUUAGUGAAGGCUUAAGCAAAAGCCAAAAAGCAAAAAUUGGUCAUGGAAAACUUCAAGGUCGAGCAUGCAAAGAUGCAGUUUGUAUGCUUCAUUCUUUUCACCUACCAUCUGUGCCAUAUUGAUAUCCAAAUCUCAUUCUUUGUCGGUCAGUUAUUAUCGUGUCUUGAGAUAUUCCGUAGAAUUUAUGUGUAGGGGAGAUUGGAGCAAGAGGGAACGCCUGGAUGACGUUUUUCUUCCUGGGCUUGGGUCUUUCAAAGUUGACUGUAUUUCUAAGUUGACAUAUGAAUUUAUUGUCCCAAGAGAUAAAGACAGCGGGCAGAAAGGUUUGUCAAUCAGUUCUCUUUGUCAGUAGUAUAUGCUCUUCCCCUAAAUAUAAUUUACUUGGUUCUUCUGCUUUCACAAUUAGUAGAAAGAAAUAAUAUCGAGGCAAGAGAGUUCUUGGAUAUAUGAGAAUCAGGGCAUUGCUCUGUAAAAGCAUUCUUAUUCUGGUUUUUUGCACGAAUUAUUUCAUUUUUUUAAAUACUUUUAUUCCCCGAUAUUGUUCAAAAUUGUUAGUGAAUCAUAAAUAAAUGGGUCUAUAUUGGAUGGCUAAAUUCGAUCUUUCUAGUGCCAAUCCUCAAUAUGCUUGUAAUUGUGAUCAGUAACACAGUAAAUUCAAGGGGAUGCUGAUAAUUUUGAAAUGGUGUAAAAGCGUCUCAUUUGUCUAUCUGUAUGUGGAGAAUUUCUCAGACAUGCUCUUAUCAACGUAUGAUGCUGAUCACGGUUGAUUCUCAGAUUAGUCUCAUUCAUGAGCUCUUAUAACUCAAGAAAUCGCUCACUAUGGAGCUAGAGCAACUCAGCUUAGUGAGUAUUCUUAACUCAUGAAAAGACCAGUCUUUACACACACACACACACACGCAUAUGGAUGUACUUUUAUGUAAAUAGAUAUGGACAGUAGUAUAUACGGACGUCCAGCUAUACUCUGUCUUUUGCCAUCUGUAAGAUAUUCAGGCCGACCGAAUCGGAUCCGCCUUGUGGGACCAGACAUGACCCGACUUGAGCAAACUGACAAGAUUGGUUAGUAUCUUUCAGUUGUAACAUGCUAUUUCUCAUGGUAAGUAGUUAUUGCAGAUAUUUGUGGGACCCAUUAAUCGGGUAAUAUACGCAGUAACCACACAAAAUAUAAGCAGUGACCACCAGACACGCGAAAGAAAAGAUCAAUGAGUGAAUUUGCUCCUGAAUAAUGAGUAUGCGUAAGGAUUUUUGUGUUGUGAAGAGUGCAGUCCUUGCUCAUCUUGUAGCGAAGGCCCCAUUGCCAGGAUUACUUGUUUGCUAUUGUUGUAGCUUGUAGGUGACUGGCAGGGCGACGUUCUUGUCACCUAGUGGAAUCCCACUUGCGUCCCUUCGCGGAGACAUUCAUAAGCUGGGUUCAUGAUCAUUCUUCCUGAUCUCGGAGGCGCUAAUCGGAAGCUUCAUUCAGUGACAUUAACCAAGGAGUACAAUCUGGAUUUUUGUUCCAGAAGUUGAGGCACCUCUGAUCGUUCGUCAUCCCCGACUCUCUACAUCUCUUCCCCCACCACCAGUGCCACUGUGAAGACUCCGUGAUUGCCCGGUGACCGUCCGUUCAAGUGAAUUCGACGACCGUCCGCCUUCUCUGCUCGUCUGUUGUAGUCCCUUCUCUACCCGUUCGUCAUCUAGCCUUCUUCAUCUGAUGAUUUUCCAAUUCCUAACUAUUGAGUGCCAUUGAUUUUCCAUUGUUACAUCGAUGGUCCAAUAGGUUCAAUUUAGUGUGUGGGCGUUAUUGGCAACUUGAAGUAAUCAUCAUCCUCGUCGUCUCUGUGCAAUUUGCUGGUUUUCUUGAAUUCCCAUAUGCCUAUUGUCCCUGCAGACAUAUGCUAGUCAUCUCGAACGAACCCAGUAACACCCACACUCCCGACAACUUCCUGCAAGCCACACGCCAAGGGACUCCUUACAGCUACACGACCGACAAUUGUCCUCGACAAAGGGGGUCAAUUAUGGUCAGCACAUCUAAUUCCUUUUGACGGAUGAGGCAUUUAUUUAUUAAGAGGUGCUGAUGAAAACUUGCGUGCCUAUUAACCAGCUCCCUCUGUAAUUGACAGGUUGUAUAUCAUCUUGUAGUACUCUUCCCCUGACUGUUGAUAGGUACCCAGCUCAAGCAAGAGAUGUAUUUGGGUGGUUCCAUUUGUACCUCAAUGGUAUGUCCAGGAUGUAAAAACUCCUAUUACCUCGAUAAUUGUUAUUUUAAUAUCUUCAAAGCUUUGAGGGGUGGUUCUUCGAUUUUCUUGUAUGUUGCACGAGGAGUCAACAACUACUAUACAGAAAUAUUAUUAGACAGACGUGAUCCUUAGAAAGAAUCCGUGUAGCCUUGGGGCAUGCCCAUAUUGUUGAUUGAAUACAGGAAUAUAGUGUUAGUACUG
Molecule: non-coding RNA, 3071 nt
Organism: Punica granatum (pomegranate)
Lineage: Eukaryota; Viridiplantae; Streptophyta; Magnoliopsida; Myrtales; Lythraceae
Source: RefSeq, a predicted model, not a curated record